AACAACCACCAAAAAGCAAACAACAGUUCCCUCGUUUGUCCCAAAAAAUUAAACACAGAUUCUGUCACCUUGCCCCAACAAAACCACUGCACAGGGGUGGAUGGCAAAUGCUGCCAUGGCUUCAUGAGAACUUCAGAAAACACAGUGUGUUGUUUCUUCUGUGUUUUGCCAGACUGAGUCUGAAAAUACUGUGUUGAAUUCCCUGAGUUCUGGAAUUAUAACAACAUGUCACAAAUAGAUGCCUGGCAAUGCACAGCCUCACCAGAGUGACAGAGCAGCACAUCAAGGCUGCCCCUGGUGUAUCUCCACUGACAUCCUUACACCAGGGAUGAGUUCCACAGACACCACAGGAGGGAAGGGUCCUGUGCAUCAGGCACAGGCACAGAUCCUGGCUCACGUGAACUGAGAGAAAUAGGAAGGAAAUAUUCACCUCCUUAGAGGCUAAAAAUGAGGUGCAGCUACAGUCUAGCUCUGCAGUGUUCCCUUUCAACAAUGGGGAAUGGAGUGAAAAAAACACGAGUUCAUUUAACAUGGAGAAAAAGAAAGGAAGAUGGUAACAUGUUGACCUGUA
RNAcentral lists this long non-coding RNA (571 nucleotides) under Manacus vitellinus (golden-collared manakin). RNAcentral describes it as "lncRNA (ENSMVIG00005003307.1)". The record is from RNAcentral. Lineage: Eukaryota; Metazoa; Chordata; Aves; Passeriformes; Pipridae.